This 148-nucleotide non-coding RNA is filed under the name Leptotrichia sp. Its description in RNAcentral is "GlcN6P sequence". It matches the Rfam family "glmS glucosamine-6-phosphate activated ribozyme aptamer". Rfam says of the family: This entry contains a glucosamine-6-phosphate activated ribozyme that is found in the mRNA for GlmS. GlmS is an enzyme that uses fructose-6-phosphate and glutamine to generate glucosamine-6-phosphate. The ribozyme catalyses self cleavage of the glmS mRNA that is thought to regulate GlmS activity. The record is from RNAcentral. Lineage: Bacteria; Fusobacteriati; Fusobacteriota; Fusobacteriia; Fusobacteriales; Leptotrichiaceae.
AAAUCUUAAAUAGCGCCAGACCUUUUUAAAAGGAGACGAGGAAAAAGAGUUAUCGAAAUUUCGGCGGAUGCUCUUUAGGUUAUCACAACCUGAAUAAUAUACAAAAAUUAUAAGAAAUUAUAAAACAAAAAUAUUAUAGUGAUUAUUC